This 253-nucleotide ribosomal RNA is filed under the name uncultured bacterium. RNAcentral describes it as "partial 16S ribosomal RNA". It matches the Rfam family "Bacterial small subunit ribosomal RNA", at positions 524 to 776 of the family's 1533-position model. The record is from RNAcentral.
GACGGAGGAUGCAAGUGUUAUCCGGAAUCACUGGGCGUAAAGCGUCUGUAGGUGGUUUAAAAAGUCCACUGUUAAAAAUUGAAGCUUAACUUCAAAGAUGCCGUGGAAACUUUUAAACUUGAGUAUGAUAGGGGUAGAGGGAAUUUCCAGUGGAGCGGUGAAAUGCGUAGAUAUUGGAAAGACCACCAAUGGCGAAGGCACUCUACUGGGCCAUUACUGACACUGAGAGACGAAAGCUAGGGUAGCGAAUGGG